UACGUAGGGUGCAAGCGUUAUCCGGAAUUAUUGGGCGUAAAGAGCUCGUAGGCGGUUUGUCACGUCUGCUGUGAAAACUGGAGGCUCAACCUCCAGCCUGCAGUGGGUACGGGCAGACUAGAGUGCGGUAGGGGAGAUUGGAAUUCCUGGUGUAGCGGUGGAAUGCGCAGAUAUCGGGAGGAACACCCGUAGCGAAGGCGGCACUCUGGGCCGGAACUGACGCUGAGGAGCGAAAGCGUGGGGAGCAAACAGG
This 253-nucleotide ribosomal RNA is filed under the name uncultured bacterium. Its description in RNAcentral is "partial 16S ribosomal RNA". It matches the Rfam family "Bacterial small subunit ribosomal RNA", at positions 524 to 776 of the family's 1533-position model. The record is from RNAcentral.